CGCUUUGUGGUCCAACUGAUUUGAAGAGCUUGCUCAGAUAUGACGAUGGACAUUGCAAAGAGUGGCGAACGGGUGAGUAACACGUGGGAAACCUACCUCUUAGCAGGGGAUAACACUUGGAAACAAGUGCUAAUACCGUAUAACACUAAUAACCGCAUGGUUAUUAGUUAAAAGAUGGUCUUGCUAUCACUAAGAGAUGGUCCCGCGGUGUAUUAGCUAGUUGGUAAGGUAAUGGCUUACCAAGGCAAUGAUACAUAGCCGAGUUGAGAGACUGAUCGGCCACAAUGGGACUGAGACACGGCCCAUACUCCUACGGGAGGCAGCAGUAGGGAAUCUUCCACAAUGGACGAAAGUCUGAUGGAGCAACGCCGCGUGUGUGAUGAAGGGUUUCGGCUCGUAAAACACUGUUGUAAGAGAAGAAUGACAUUGAGAGUAACUGUUCAGUGUGUGACGGUAUCUUACCAGAAAGGAACGGCUAAAUACGUGCCAGCAGCCGCGGUAAUACGUAUGUUCCAAGCGUUAUCCGGAUUUAUUGGGCGUAAAGCGAGCGCAGACGGUUAUUUAAGUCCGAAGUGAAAGCCCACAGCUUAACUGUGGAAGUGCUUUGGAAACUGGAUAACUUGAGUGCAGUAGAGGAGAGUGGAACUCCAUGUGUAGCGGUGAAAUGCGUAGAUAUAUGGAA
RNAcentral lists this ribosomal RNA (682 nucleotides) under Weissella viridescens. Its description in RNAcentral is "bacterial SSU rRNA". It matches the Rfam family "Bacterial small subunit ribosomal RNA", at positions 67 to 703 of the family's 1533-position model. The record is from RNAcentral. Lineage: Bacteria; Bacillati; Bacillota; Bacilli; Lactobacillales; Lactobacillaceae.